GUACGCUGGCGGCACGCCUAACACAUGCAAGUCGAACGAAGUAGCAAUACUUAUUGGCAGACGGGUGAGUAACAUGUAGGUAUCUGCCCUUUGGCCUGGAAUAACACGAGGAAACUUGUGCUAAUACCGGAUAAGUCUUUACGGAGAAAGCUUUAUGCACCAUUGGAUGAGCCUGCACUUGAUUAGUUUGUUGGUAGGGUAAUGGCCUACCAAGACUGUGAUCAAUAGCUGAUUUGAGAGGAUGAUCAGCCACAUUGGGACUGAGACACGGCCCAAACUCCUACGGGAGGCAGCAGUGGGGAAUCUUGCACAAUGGAGGAAACUCUGAUGCAGCGAUGCCGCGUGAGUGAAGAAGGCCUUUGGGUUGUAAAGCUCUUUCGUCGGGGAAGAAAAUGACUGUACCCGAAUAAGAAGGUCCGGCUAACU
This 426-nucleotide ribosomal RNA is filed under the name uncultured bacterium. RNAcentral's name for it is "bacterial SSU rRNA". It matches the Rfam family "Bacterial small subunit ribosomal RNA", at positions 31 to 502 of the family's 1533-position model. The record is from RNAcentral.